UGCAGCUCUCACUGCCGCGAUUCUGGGAGAGUUCUGUGAGGAGGGCCAGCUGCAGAGGAGGGGACACAGUCAGCGGGGGCUGGAGGUAAGACCGGGCAUGGACCCCACAUCUGCAUCUAGCUAACAACAUUGGUGACUCUGCACAUGUUCACGUCCUCUGGUAAGGCCUAAAUUUUCUCCUUUAACAAGGAGGAGGCUGGACGUGGUCAGUCUCACAGGCACGUCACACUGUGACACUUUCUGACAUGGCAAAGCGUCUGAGCCUCCCUCACGCUGUGUACCCUCUGCAGACGGCACGUGACCCUGUUGCCCAGCUCACUUCAAACUCCCUUUCUCCUUAGUGGGCUUUCCUCAGAGUGAGUGGUGAUCUCUGGCUCUGUCUUGCCUUCAUGAUCCAGAUAGCUCCCGAUGGACGCCCCAGCUGCCACUUCAAACUCAGGGCCUCCAGGGACACUCACGGAUGCCACCUUCUCUUCUAAGUGCCCUCCCUGCUCCCCGGUGUUCACCAGUGACACCCUCCACCUGUUACAGGCUCGGUGCUGGGAGACCUGCCAAGGAAGGCAGACCGUGGAUCUAGCCCGCCGGGAAGAUUAGGUACAGAGCCUGAUGACCUAGUCCCGAGAUGCCCUUGACGUCAGAGGAGAGUGGAGUGCCACACCUGGAAUUUACCUGGAGAGACAGCAGCUGUGAGGACCGAGCUGUCUCCUACAGCAGCGCAAGCCUCCCAGUGCCAGGACUUCCCCAAGCCCCAGUUACAGGAAUUCAGUAGUUUAAGGGCUUUUGGAAUCAAGACCAGUUUCCCUAGUCUCCACUGCAGUUAGGUCAUGUGUCUAAGUACUGGACAAAGAAGGAAUGCAGAUGUGAUGGUUGGAGCUGGGGCAACCAUGCUGAACCAUGGGGAAGAACCCUAAGCACUAAGAUAGAAUGGAAAUAAGUGCCACCCCUGAAUAAACCAUGCUCGUGAGUGUGAAACAGCUUCACAGCUUCAUCUUCUGUGAAAGGAUGUGUUUCAAGAUCGGAAGAGCAGCUAACAGUAAGGACGCUCACAGCACCCGGGCUUGUGUGAUCCCGCUGUGCUGUCCUGGAGACCAGCCCAGGCCCCAGGUGCCUUAACUCUUCCUGAUGCUCUCAGUGACAUGGGGGUGGCGGAGGUUGGCCCGUGGGAAUCCCAAGCCGGGCAGCCAGAAAGAGAGGAGGAUGGCCCCACUUUUCAUUCUAGACUCACACCUCUGUGUUUCCAGACACAUGGAGAGAUUACUCUGUACUCUGAGAAUGUUCCAACUUGCCUUGACACUUUAAGAUUUCUCAAUUUAAUUUGGUAGAAAAACGAUCCUGUAUCUUGGAGAGAAACUUUGUGGAGUAUCACACUUUAGUUUAUACUAAGUAAGAUGCACAGGGGCGUUCCAAGCUAAAGAUGAUCUGAAGGUUUGAAAAAUACUGCAAACCAAGCUCAAACAAGCAAGAAGAGAAAAACACAUAAAUACUUUUGAGAGACUUAACAAUGGAAAACAUGGUCCUGCCCUGAUUUUCCACAUCCCUCCAGUACUGCUGGCAUGAACUGGGGAGCAGGACUGGUUAUGGAUGACACCUGCCUCUCACUGGCCACUCAGCACCUCAGCGGUGGGGCCUGCCAUCCCCAUAGUCCAUAUGACAAGGGACCAAACCACCCUGACCUUACUUUUGCUGAUUCCAUGGUUACUCCAUGGUAAAGUGUAGAGGAGGGUCUAAGUGGAACAAAGUCAGGAAUGGACUAGGUAGGGUGGUGCUGGGUGGGGGUGUUAAAGUGGUUGAUUAAAAAGAAGGUUGUAAAAGCCAAGCUGGAAAUUGACAAAGUAACGAGAGCAAGAAAAAGAUCUCAUGAAAUACACUGCUGUGCUUCUUAUGAAAAUGUAGAUGAUGAGCCACUGAAGAAAUGCCCAUCAAACCCUGUGCUGAGAAAACUGUACUGGACACAAUUACUAGUUAUAUAUACUUUCUGCCAAUUGUGUUUUCUUUGCUUUUGUCACAAGAGAACUCAAAGCUAAGUGGUGAGCUACGUAAGACUAGCCACUGUACAGGACAUGGUGGCAACCAGAUUAGGUUUUACAUUGUUUUCCAGAGGCAGAACCUAGAUUUCUGCAUUUGUUUCAUCAUUGGAUGUAUUUUGGAAGCCAAAUCAAGGUCCUGUGAGCUCAGAAGCAGAGAAGGCACGUGGCACACUCACAGAUCACUCUCAACGGUGAUGAGCCGAAAACGUCUCCUCUUAAGGUUAGGGACGAGACAAGGAUGUCUACACUCACUACUUUUAUUCAGCAUAGCCAUGGCACUCAGAGAGGAAAAAGAAAAGGACUCCAAAUUGGAAAUGAAGUAGAGCCCUCAUUGUUUGCAAUGAUAGGAUACUAUACACAGAAAACCCUAAGGCCGCUACCAGAAAACUACUAGGCCCAUCAAUGAAUCUGAUAAAGUUGCAGGAUACAAAAUUAAUACACAGGAAUCUCUUGCAUUCCUAUACACUAACAAUGAAAGAAAGAGAAAUUAAGGAAACAAUCCCAUUUGCCAUCACAUCAAAAAAAAUAAAAUACCCAAGCAUAAACCUACUUGAGGAGGCAAAUAACCUCUACUCUGAAAACUCUUAAGACGCUGAUAAAAGUACUGAAAGAUAACACAAAUGGAAAGAUAUACCAUGUACUUGUAUUGGAACAAUCAAUGCUCAAAAUGAGUAUACUACUCAAGGCAAUCUGCAGAUUCAGUGCCAUCCCUAUCAAAUUAGUAAUGCCAUUUUAUAUAGA
Molecule: long non-coding RNA, 2768 nt
Organism: Odocoileus virginianus texanus
Lineage: Eukaryota; Metazoa; Chordata; Mammalia; Artiodactyla; Cervidae
Source: RefSeq, a predicted model, not a curated record